UCCGGCUUAUCACCGGCAGUCCCUUUAGAGUGCCCAACUAAAUGAUGGCAAUUAACGACAAGGGUUGCACUCGUUGCGGGACUUAACCCAACAUCUCACGACACGAGCUGACGACAGCCAUGCAGCACCUGUGUUACGGUUCCCUUUCGGGCACCCUCCCAUCUCUGGGAGAUUCCGUACAUGUCAAGGGUAGGUAAGGUUUUUCGCGUUGCAUCGAAUUAAUCCACAUAAUCCACCGCUUGUGCGGGUCCCCGUCAAUUCCUUUGAGUUUUAGCCUUGCGGCCGUACUCCCCCGGCGGUCAACUUCACGCGUUAGCUUCGUUACCAAGGAAUUACUUCCCCGACAACCAGUUGACAUCGUUUAGGGCGUGGACUAC
Molecule: unclassified non-coding RNA, 377 nt
Filed under: uncultured Gammaproteobacteria bacterium
Lineage: Bacteria; Pseudomonadati; Pseudomonadota; Gammaproteobacteria
Description: contains 16S-23S intergenic spacer region
Source: RNAcentral